Molecule: ribosomal RNA, 443 nt
Filed under: uncultured bacterium
Lineage: Bacteria
Description: partial 16S ribosomal RNA
Rfam family: Bacterial small subunit ribosomal RNA
Source: RNAcentral
CCUACGGGAGGCAGCAGUGGGGAAUAUUGGGCAAUGGGCGCAAGCCUGACCCAGCAACGCCGCGUGAAGGAAGAAGGCUUUCGGGUUGUAAACUUCUAUUCUCAGGGACGAAGCAAGUGACGGUACCUGAGGAAUAAGCCACGGCUAACUACGUGCCAGCAGCCGCGGUAAUACGUAGGUGGCAAGCGUUAUCCGGAUUUACUGGGUGUAAAGGGCGCGUAGGCGGGAAAGCAAGUCAGAUGUGAAAACCAGGGGCCCAACCUCUGGACUGCAUUUGAAACUGUUUUUCUUGAGUACAGGAGAGGCAGAUGGAAUUCCUAGUGUAGCGGUGAAAUGCGUAGAUAUUAGGAGGAACACCAGUGGCGAAGGCGGUGUGCUGGACAGUAACUGACGCUGAGGCGCGAAAGCGUGGGGAGCAAACAGGAUUAGAUACCCGAGUAGUC